CUUCCACCCUCGAGACGUAACUCUUAGUUUCCCUUUCCCUGGUAGCCUUUUUGUGUGUAACCUUGUCGCAGAAUUGCUAACGUGGCUCACAUUACGAUGUCGCAACAAAACGCCUUUCUAUAUGCAUAAAGAAACGGUGAGACUUCAGGGAGUACAGGAGACCACCGGGACUACAUAAAUGAACAGGGGAAUGAAAACUACACAAAGCCGCAUACACAUAGGUUGGACAGUCGGGAAACGGUCGUUUCUGUGUUGACAAUUCUCCUACGCGUUUUGACUUCUCCAUAUUCAGCCUCGGAGUAGCCUCCGCCUCUUUGCUAGACACUCGGUCAGUAUCCUUAUGCACACUCAACAACCACACCUGUACCAAACAAAAUGACAGGCCAUGAUGGCACACCAAGAAAAUGAUUCCCAUAUGAAAUAGAAUCCAUAGCAAAGGCCUUGGAUAUUCAUCACCAGGCGUCUCAUACCUAGGACUUAAACGCUCCUAUUCUACAUUUCUGCCUGAAGAACAUGAGAAAUGUGAGGACAAGAAAUUCGCUAGCCAGCAUAAUCGCAGAAUAUCCACACCGUGCAAGACGUGAAUAUCAAUCAAAAACCAAUAAAGAAAGAACGUUUCGAAAUAUAUAAACCUCGCCCCAUUCCUGAUUGCCCUCAGAACCAUUUAACUUAACCUACAGAAUCCCGAUCCACAGAAAAAAAAGACAUUAGGAACUAGUUAUUAACGAGUGUCAUCAGUUGGGAAAUCAUAAAUAAAGUAAAAAGCCCCCAUCCCGCCCUACCGGAUAAAUGACAGAUAAGAAAGUAAAAAAUUGGGUAUCAUUGUUGUGCAAUGCCAAACGUUAACCAAUCCUAUUCACCCAGGAAGUAUCAUCAGCCGAAACAAAAGUAGACAAGACAAGCAGAGCAGCCGGAAGAUAGUCACAGACGCCUUA
RNAcentral lists this small RNA (935 nucleotides) under Histoplasma capsulatum var. duboisii H88. RNAcentral's name for it is "Histoplasma capsulatum H88 hypothetical RNA". Lineage: Eukaryota; Fungi; Ascomycota; Eurotiomycetes; Onygenales; Ajellomycetaceae. The record is from RNAcentral.